This 153-nucleotide ribosomal RNA is filed under the name Erimystax dissimilis (streamline chub). RNAcentral's name for it is "partial 12S ribosomal RNA". It matches the Rfam family "Bacterial small subunit ribosomal RNA", at positions 1357 to 1533 of the family's 1533-position model. Lineage: Eukaryota; Metazoa; Chordata; Actinopteri; Cypriniformes; Leuciscidae. The record is from RNAcentral.
UCCUUUUGAACCCGGCUCUGAGACGCGUACACACCGCCCGUCACUCUCCCCUGUCAAAAUGUAAUAGCGCUACCUUAACACACUAAAACUAAGACAAGGGGAGGCAAGUCGUAACAUGGUAAGUGUACCGGAAGGUGCACUUGGAUAAAACUC